Molecule: small RNA, 29 nt
Filed under: Bombyx mori (domestic silkworm)
Lineage: Eukaryota; Metazoa; Arthropoda; Insecta; Lepidoptera; Bombycidae
Description: piRNA piR-bmo-2138240
Source: RNAcentral
UUAGAAGUAAUGCCUAGCCAAUCGAAUAC